GAUGAAGAACGUAGCGAAAUGCGAUAAGUAAUGUGAAUUGCAGAAUUCAGUGAAUCAUCGAAUCUUUGAACGCACAUUGCGCCCAUUAGUAUUCUAGUGGGCAUGCCUGUUCGAGCGUCAUUUCAACCCUUAAGCCUAGCUUAGUAUUGGGAAUCGACUUUACUGUCGUUCCUCAAAUUCAACGGCGGAUUUAUAGCAAUCUCUGAACGUAGUAAUUUUUUUUCUCGUUUUUGAAAUACUAUAAACCUCAGCCGCUAAACCCCCAAUUUCUUAUGGUUGACCUCGGAUCAGGUAGGAAUACCCGCUGAACUUAAGCAUAUCAAUAGCGGAGA
Molecule: unclassified non-coding RNA, 332 nt
Filed under: soil metagenome
Description: partial contains 5.8S ribosomal RNA, internal transcribed spacer 2, and large subunit ribosomal RNA
Rfam family: 5.8S ribosomal RNA (bases 1-120)
Source: RNAcentral